Molecule: ribosomal RNA, 512 nt
Filed under: uncultured bacterium
Lineage: Bacteria
Description: bacterial SSU rRNA
Rfam family: Bacterial small subunit ribosomal RNA
Source: RNAcentral
AUGGCUCAGGAUAAACGCUGGCGGCGUGCUUAACACAUGCAAGUCGAACGGAGUAAUCCUCCCGAAGACCUGACGAGCUUGCUCUGAUGGAAUCAUUGGAUACUAGUGGCGGACGGGUGAGUAACGCGUGGGAAACCUGCCCUAUACUGGGGGAUAACAGUUGGAAACGACUGAUAAUACCGCAUAAGCGCACAGCACCGCAUGGUGCAGUGUGAAAAAACUCCGGUGGUAUAGGAUGGUCCCGCGUCUGAUUAGCUAGUUGGUGAGGUAACGGCCCACCAAGGCGACGAUCAGUAGCCGGCCUGAGAGGGUGUACGGCCACAUUGGGACUGAGACACGGCCCAAACUCCUACGGGAGGCAGCAGUGGGGAAUAUUGGACAAUGGGGGAAACCCUGAUCCAGCGACGCCCGCGUGAGUGAAGAAGUAUCUCGGUAUGUAAAGCUCUAUCAGCAGGGAAGAUAAUGACGGUACCUGACUAAGAGGCACCGGCUAAAUACGUGCCAGCCGCUGC